Molecule: ribosomal RNA, 497 nt
Filed under: uncultured bacterium
Lineage: Bacteria
Description: partial 16S ribosomal RNA
Rfam family: Bacterial small subunit ribosomal RNA
Source: RNAcentral
GAUGAACGCUGGCGGCGUGCCUAAUACAUGCAAGUCGAGCGAACAGACGAGGAGCUUGCUCCUCUGACGUUAGCGGCGGACGGGUGAGUAACACGUGGAUAACCUACCUAUCAGACUGGGAUAACUUCGGGAAACCGGAGCUAAUACCGUAUAAUAUAUUGAACCGCAUGGUUCAAUAGUGAAAGACGGUUUUGCUGUCACUUAUAGCUGGAUCCGCGCCGCAUUAGCUAGUUGGUAAGGUAACGGCUUACCACGGCGACGAUGCGUAGCCGACCUGAGAGGGGGAUCGGCCACACGAGAAGUGAAACACGCUCCAGACUCCUACGGGAGGCAGCAGUAGGGAAUCUGCCGCAAUGGGCGAAAGCCUGACGGAGCAACGCCGCGUGAGUGAUGAAGGUCUUCGGAUCGUAAAACUCUGUUAUUAGGGAAGAACAAAUGUGUAAGUAACUAUGCAGGUCGUGACGGUACCUAAUCAGAAAGCCACGGCUAACUACGUG